This 450-nucleotide ribosomal RNA is filed under the name uncultured bacterium. RNAcentral's name for it is "partial 16S ribosomal RNA". It matches the Rfam family "Bacterial small subunit ribosomal RNA", at positions 354 to 796 of the family's 1533-position model. The record is from RNAcentral.
GUGGGGAAUAUUCCGCAAUGGACGAAAGUCUGACGGAGCAACGCCGCGUGAGUGAUGAAGGUUUUCGGACUGUAAAGCUCUGUUGUUUAGGACGAAAGUGCCUGUUGCGAAUAGUUACAGGUAUUGACGGUACUGAACGAGGAAGCCACGGCUAACUACGUGCCAGCAGCCGCGGUAAUACGUAGGUGGCAAGCGUUGUCCGGAAUUAUUGGGCGUAAAGAGCAUGUAGGCGGGAAUCUAAGUCUGUUGUGAAAAUGCGGGGCUCAACCCCGUAUUGCGAUGGAAACUGGGAUUCUUGAGUACCGGAGAGGAAAGCGGAAUUCCCCGUGUAGCGGUGAAAUGCGUAGAUAUGGGGAGGAACACCAGUGGCGAAGGCGGCUUUCUGGACGGUGUCUGACACUGAGGCACGAAAGCCAGGGGAGCGAACGGGAUUAGAAACCCCAGUAGUCC